AAGGGGCUCUCAAUGUAAUCACAGGUGCUUAAAAUCAGAAGAGAGAGACAGACAAGGAGAGUGAAGAGGGAGAUGCGACUACUGAGUAGUGGUCCAAAAGAGGCAACGUUGCUGGCUUUGAAGAUGGAGGAAGGGGGCUGUGAGUCAAGGAAUGUGAGCAGCCUCUAGAAGCUGGAAAAGGCAGAGACUCUCCCUGGAGUGUCUCAGAUGCAUGCGAUGUGCAUGACUGCUGGAUUUGGAUCAGUGAGCUGAAAGAUGCAGAACAUCACACUUGGCUGGAUGAGUCCCUGUGGAUUGUGGACGAGGAGAAACCGUGAGCGCUGUUCAUUCUAGAAGAUCAGCCCUGAGCUAACAUCUGCUGCUAAUCCUCCUCUUUUUGCUGAGGAAGACUGGCCCUGAGCUAACAUCCGAGCCCAUCUCCCUCUGCUUUCUAUGUGGGAUGCCUACCAUAGCAUGGCUUUUGCCAAGUAGUGCCAUGUCCGCACCCGGGAUCCAAAACGACGAACCCCAGGCCUCUGAAGUGGAACGUGCGAACUUAACCACUGCGCCACGGGGCCAGCCCCAACACCAUUUCUUUCAUCAAAGCAUAGGAAUGUCUGGCAGGAACCAGAUUCUUCUUCAUGUCUUUUGUGUGCACUCUUGUCACCCCAGCAUCCAGCCUUCCAAAUAAAUCU
This 674-nucleotide long non-coding RNA is filed under the name Equus asinus (donkey). RNAcentral describes it as "lncRNA (ENSEASG00005038506.1)". The record is from RNAcentral. Lineage: Eukaryota; Metazoa; Chordata; Mammalia; Perissodactyla; Equidae.